Molecule: ribosomal RNA, 440 nt
Filed under: uncultured bacterium
Lineage: Bacteria
Description: partial 16S ribosomal RNA
Rfam family: Bacterial small subunit ribosomal RNA
Source: RNAcentral
CCUACGGGAGGCAGCAGUGGGGAAUAUUGCACAAUGGGGGAACCCCUGAUGCAGCGACGCCGCGUGAGUGAAGAAGUAAUUCGUUAUGUAAAGCUCUAUCAGCAGGGAAGAAAAUGACGGUACCUGCGUACGAAGCCCCGGCUAACUACGUGCCAGCAGCCGCGGUAAUACGUAGGGGGCAAGCGUUAUCCGGAUUUACUGGGUGUAAAGGGAGCGUAGACGGCAGUGCACGUCUGGAGUGAAAGGCGGGGGCUCAACCCCCGGACUGCUCUGGAAACUGUACGGCUUGAGUGCAGGAGAGGUAAGUGGAAUUCCUAGUGUAGCGGUGAAAUGCGGAGAGAUUAGGAGGAACACCAGUGGCGAAGGCGGCUUACUGGACUGUAACGGACGUUGAGGCUCGAAAGCGUGGGGAGCAAACAGGAUUAGAUACCCGAGUAGUC